RNAcentral lists this ribosomal RNA (471 nucleotides) under Nocardia paucivorans. Its description in RNAcentral is "bacterial SSU rRNA". It matches the Rfam family "Bacterial small subunit ribosomal RNA", at positions 53 to 538 of the family's 1533-position model. Lineage: Bacteria; Bacillati; Actinomycetota; Actinomycetes; Mycobacteriales; Nocardiaceae. The record is from RNAcentral.
ACAUGCAAGUCGAGCGGUAAGGCCCCUUCGGGGGUACACGAGCGGCGAACGGGUGAGUAACACGUGGGUGAUCUGCCUCGCACUCUGGGAUAAGCCUGGGAAACUGGGUCUAAUACCGGAUAUGACCACUGGUCGCAUGGUUGGUGGUGGAAAGAUUUAUCGGUGCGAGAUGAGCCCGCGGCCUAUCAGCUUGUUGGUGGGGUAAUGGCCUACCAAGGCGACGACGGGUAGCCGGCCUGAGAGGGCGACCGGCCACACUGGGACUGAGACACGGCCCAGACUCCUACGGGAGGCAGCAGUGGGGAAUAUUGCACAAUGGGCGAAAGCCUGAUGCAGCGACGCCGCGUGAGGGAUGACGGCCUUCGGGUUGUAAACCUCUUUCGACAGGGACGAAGCGCAAGUGACGGUACCUGUAGAAGAAGCACCGGCCAACUACGUGCCAGCAGCCCGCGGUAAUACGUAGGGUGCGAG